RNAcentral lists this ribosomal RNA (404 nucleotides) under Verrucomicrobiota bacterium. RNAcentral's name for it is "Verrucomicrobia bacterium partial 16S ribosomal RNA". It matches the Rfam family "Bacterial small subunit ribosomal RNA", at positions 355 to 776 of the family's 1533-position model. Lineage: Bacteria; Pseudomonadati; Verrucomicrobiota. The record is from RNAcentral.
UGGGGAAUAUUGCACAAUGGGGGAAACCCUGAUGCAGCGACGCCGCGUGAGCGAUGAAGGCUUUCGAGUCGUAAAGCUCUGUCCUAUGGGAAGAUAAUGACGGUACCAUAGAAGAAAGCCCCGGCUAAUUACGUGCCAGCAGCCGCGGUAAUACGUAAGGGGCGAGCGUUGUCCGGAAUUAUUGGGCGUAAAGAGUGCGUAGGCGGCAAAUUAAGUCAGAUGUGAAAACUAAGGGCUCAACCCAUAGAUUGCAUCUGAAACUGAUAUGCUUGAGUCAAGGAGAGGAAAGUGGAAUUCCUGGUGUAGCGGUGGAAUGCGUAGGUAUUAGGAGGGAUACCGGUGGCGGAGGCGGCUUUCUGGACUUGAACUGACGCUGAGGCACGAAAGCGUGGGGGGCAAACAGG